ACAGGAAGGGGACAUCAGUGCUCAGAGGGGCACGAGAAUUCAUAGAAAAGCUGAGGGAGCUGAGGUUAUUACAAAAUCUCAACUCUGGUUCCCUGUGCCUGAGAAAAACGGCCUAAACAAAGCACAGGUGAGGGUUUGUGGUGGCCUCCCGUCUGGGGAUCCAAGGCAUUCUGCCUCCUUGGAAGUUCUUGGCCUCUCGGCACUCCCAGUCGAUGGAGGUGUUGUCAGUGGACAAAGAUGAACAUUCCAGAAGAAAAGGCUUGAAACCAGCAGGCAUCAGAGAGAGCUCACAGCUGCUAAGAAGCUGGAGGCAUCCGGGCUGGUCUCUGCCCACCCCCACAACUGUUAGGCCACAGAUGCGGCAGGCAGGGCUGAGCAGCCCGGGUGGGGAGAAAGGGCAGAAGAGGAUUAUGGGAGGUCCCCGGGGAAACCUCAGGCAGAUUGAGGACGUUGCCCCCCACCAGCCCCCUCUCCAGGCUCAGAGGCGGUCAGAGUAGAGGCACACCGUGCUUGUCUGGGGCAGGUGGGCUUUAGCGCACACACUUUCAGGCCUUCAUUAAGAUUCAUCCUCCCCUGUGACCUGUCUCCUGGGUCCUGACCUGCAGCCCAGGGGUAGGGGGGGGGUUCCCCUUCUGUGGGGCUGCCCCAAGGCCCUUGCUGAGAGGCGAGGCACACCAGGCCUGUGUUAAGACUUGCCAAACUGCACCAGGAUCGCAGUAUCCAUUGUGGGAGGCGGAGAUUUUGCCCAGAUAAUUCUCUCUCCUUUCCAGCCCCAAUCCUAGCCCUGGCCUGGAGCCUUCCAGCCCCUACAGGCUGGGGUAGGAGAUGGGAUGGGUGGUACUGCCUGAAGGCAGAGAGGCCUACAGGUUGGUCCCCAGACCCCUAACGCCCUCGUGGUCCCUGGCUUGGGAAAGCCACGUAUGAAUAAACAUAGCUCAAUGAUACCAUCCAA
Molecule: long non-coding RNA, 952 nt
Filed under: Sus scrofa (pig)
Lineage: Eukaryota; Metazoa; Chordata; Mammalia; Artiodactyla; Suidae
Description: lncRNA (ENSSSCG00045010032.1)
Source: RNAcentral